This is a long non-coding RNA of Heterocephalus glaber (naked mole-rat), 603 nucleotides long. RefSeq lists it as uncharacterized. NCBI's taxonomy places the organism in Eukaryota, Metazoa, Chordata, Mammalia, Rodentia, Bathyergidae. The record is from RefSeq and is a predicted model, not a curated record.
GGCCUUUGCCCUUUACUCCAGCACUGCCUGCUGCUUGGCGGUUGCGCAGUCCGUUGACAUGGCCACGCGGUCUCAAAAGCAGACACGAGCACGGCAAUCCCAACGCCUUCUUUUUUCAUGUUGUCAAUAAAGUAUUGUUCAGGGGAUUCAUAAGUCUUUGUGACUCAUGCUGGGAGACAUCUUACCUUCAAGUGGCUUUCAUUGUGUCAUCUUUUCCCAAAUUGAUGUCUUCAAAGUCACCCGUGGGCCCAGAAUUUCCAAUAACCCAAUUUCAUCUUUUCUUGGGGAUCAUGGAGGACUUACUUCAUGAAGAACCCUGCUGCGUGAGCUACGUAUGAUGGAAGAGCAGUUCCGAACACGCCAGCAAAUUGAUCCUGACCCUGCAGAAAUAGUGCACCCUGUAUUCAGACAACCAGAAUUGCUGCCCAAAGUUAUGCUUCUCACAUGGGCCCUAUCUGAACAGAGAGACUUAAAGUAAAGCAAUUCAUAGGCAGCCAUAGAAGCAGCAUGUAAGAAUUACUUGCAGUCUCACCAGAGAAAAGUAUUUCCCAGAGGAUUUUCUAAUCAAUACUACACCUUUAAAUACAUGAAAUGGACUGAGGA